Molecule: ribosomal RNA, 393 nt
Filed under: uncultured bacterium
Lineage: Bacteria
Description: partial 16S ribosomal RNA
Rfam family: Bacterial small subunit ribosomal RNA
Source: RNAcentral
AUACGGAGGAUGCGAGCGUUAUCCGGAUUUAUUGGGUUUAAAGGGAGCGUAGGUGGGAUAUUAAGUCAGCUGUGAAAGUUUGGGGCUCAACCUUAAAAUUGCAGUUGAUACUGGUUUCCUUGAGUACGGUACAGGUGGGCGGAAUUCGUGGUGUAGCGGUGAAAUGUUUAGAUAUCACGAAGAACUCCGAUCGCGAAGGCAGCUCACCGGGCCGGAACUGACACUGAUGCUCGAAAGUGCGGGUAUCAAACAGGAUUAGAUACCCUGGUAGUCCGCACAGUAAACGAUGAAUACUCGCUGUUUGCGAUACACGGUAAGCGGCCAAGCGAAAGCGUUAAGUAUUCCACCUGGGGAAUACGCCGGCAACGGUGAAACUCAAAGGAAUUGACGGGG